This 661-nucleotide ribosomal RNA is filed under the name Shewanella chilikensis. RNAcentral's name for it is "bacterial SSU rRNA". It matches the Rfam family "Bacterial small subunit ribosomal RNA", at positions 340 to 993 of the family's 1533-position model. Lineage: Bacteria; Pseudomonadati; Pseudomonadota; Gammaproteobacteria; Alteromonadales; Shewanellaceae. The record is from RNAcentral.
UACGGGAGGCAGCAGUGGGGAAUAUUGCACAAUGGGGGAAACCCUGAUGCAGCCAUGCCGCGUGUGUGAAGAAGGCCUUCGGGUUGUAAAGCACUUUCAGCGAGGAGGAAAGGUUAGUAGUUAAUACCUGCUAUCUGUGACGUUACUCGCAGAAGAAGCACCGGCUAACUCCGUGCCAGCAGCCGCGGUAAUACGGAGGGUGCGAGCGUUAAUCGGAAUUACUGGGCGUAAAGCGUGCGCAGGCGGUUUGUUAAGCGAGAUGUGAAAGCCCCGGGCUCAACCUGGGAACCGCAUUUCGAACUGGCAAACUAGAGUCUUGUAGAGGGGGGUAGAAUUCCAGGUGUAGCGGUGAAAUGCGUAGAGAUCUGGAGGAAUACCGGUGGCGAAGGCGGCCCCCUGGACAAAGACUGACGCUCAGGCACGAAAGCGUGGGGAGCAAACAGGAUUAGAUACCCUGGUAGUCCACGCCGUAAACGAUGUCUACUCGGAGUUUGGUGCCUUGAACACUGGGCUCUCAAGCUAACGCAUUAAGUAGACCGCCUGGGGAGUACGGCCGCAAGGUUAAAACUCAAAUGAAUUGACGGGGGCCCGCACAAGCGGUGGAGCAUGUGGUUUAAUUCGAUGCAACGCGAAGAACCUUACCUACUCUUGACAUCCACAG